RNAcentral lists this transfer RNA (87 nucleotides) under Planctomyces bekefii. RNAcentral describes it as "tRNA-Leu". It matches the Rfam family "tRNA". From Rfam's summary of the family: Transfer RNA (tRNA) molecules are approximately 80 nucleotides in length. Their secondary structure includes four short double-helical elements and three loops (D, anti-codon, and T loops). Further hydrogen bonds mediate the characteristic L-shaped molecular structure. tRNAs have two regions of fundamental functional importance: the anti-codon, which is responsible for specific mRNA codon recognition, and the 3' end, to which the tRNAs corresponding amino acid is attached (by aminoacyl-tRNA synthetases). tRNAs cope with the degeneracy of the genetic code in two manners: having more than one tRNA (with a specific anti-codon) for a particular amino acid; and 'wobble' base-pairing, i.e. permitting non-standard base-pairing at the 3rd anti-codon position. The record is from RNAcentral. Lineage: Bacteria; Pseudomonadati; Planctomycetota; Planctomycetia; Planctomycetales; Planctomycetaceae.
GCGAAGGUGGUGGAAUUGGUAGACACGCUGGUCUCAGAAGCCAGUGGGCGAAAGCCUGUGGGGGUUCAAGUCCCCCCCCUCGCACCA